RNAcentral lists this transfer RNA (74 nucleotides) under Nanobdellota archaeon. Its description in RNAcentral is "tRNA-Arg". It matches the Rfam family "tRNA". From Rfam's summary of the family: Transfer RNA (tRNA) molecules are approximately 80 nucleotides in length. Their secondary structure includes four short double-helical elements and three loops (D, anti-codon, and T loops). Further hydrogen bonds mediate the characteristic L-shaped molecular structure. tRNAs have two regions of fundamental functional importance: the anti-codon, which is responsible for specific mRNA codon recognition, and the 3' end, to which the tRNAs corresponding amino acid is attached (by aminoacyl-tRNA synthetases). tRNAs cope with the degeneracy of the genetic code in two manners: having more than one tRNA (with a specific anti-codon) for a particular amino acid; and 'wobble' base-pairing, i.e. permitting non-standard base-pairing at the 3rd anti-codon position. Lineage: Archaea; Nanobdellati; Nanobdellota. The record is from RNAcentral.
GGGCCUGUAACAUAAUCUGGAUAGUGUACUCGGCUUCGGACCGAGCGAUCGGGGUUCAAAUCCUCGCAGGCCCA